This 209-nucleotide ribosomal RNA is filed under the name uncultured prokaryote. RNAcentral describes it as "partial 16S ribosomal RNA". It matches the Rfam family "Bacterial small subunit ribosomal RNA", at positions 524 to 732 of the family's 1533-position model. The record is from RNAcentral.
GACGAACCGUGCGAACGUUGUUCGGAAUCACUGGGCUUAAAGGGCGCGUAGGCGGGUCUCCAAGUCCGGGGUGAAAUCUUUCGGCCCAACCGGAAAAGUGCCUCGGAUACUGGAGACCUCGAGGGAGGUAGGGGCGGAUGGAACUUCCGGUGGAGCGGUGAAAUGCGUUGAUAUCGGAAGGAACGCCGGUGGCGAAAGCGAUCCGCUGG